RNAcentral lists this transfer RNA (62 nucleotides) under Zootermopsis nevadensis. The record is from Rfam by way of RNAcentral. Lineage: Eukaryota; Metazoa; Arthropoda; Insecta; Blattodea; Termopsidae.
UAGUUAAGUUAGCGGUUAGAACGCUGGCCUUGUAAUCCUGGGGUCCCGGGUUCGAUUCCCGG